This 934-nucleotide ribosomal RNA is filed under the name Fusarium sp. RNAcentral's name for it is "partial large subunit ribosomal RNA". It matches the Rfam family "Eukaryotic large subunit ribosomal RNA", at positions 26 to 967 of the family's 3401-position model. Lineage: Eukaryota; Fungi; Ascomycota; Sordariomycetes; Hypocreales; Nectriaceae. The record is from RNAcentral.
CGCGGCUUCCUAGCAUAUCAAUAAGCGGAGGAAAAGAAACCCAACAGGGAUUGCCUCAGUAACGGCGAGUGAAGCGGCAAGAGCUCAAAUUUGAAAGCUGGCCCCUUUCGGGGUCCGCGUUGUAAUUUGCAGAGGAUGCUUCGGGUGCAGCCCCCGUCUAAGUGCCCUGGAACGGGCCGUCAUAGAGGGUGAGAAUCCCGUCUGGGACGGGGUGUCUGCGUCCGUGUGAAGCUCCUUCGACGAGUCGAGUUGUUUGGGAAUGCAGCUCUAAAUGGGUGGUAAAUUUCAUCUAAAGCUAAAUACUGGCCGGAGACCGAUAGCGCACAAGUAGAGUGAUCGAAAGAUGAAAAGCACUUUGAAAAGAGAGUUAAACAGCACGUGAAAUUGUUGAAAGGGAAGCGUUUGCGACCAGACUCGCCCGCGGGGUUCAGCCGGCAUUCGUGCCGGUGUACUUCCCCGUGGGCGGGCCAGCGUCGGUUUGGGCGGCCGGUCAAAGGCCCUCGGAAUGUAUCACCUCUCGGGGUGUCUUAUAGCCGAGGGUGCAAUGCGGCCUGCCUGGACCGAGGAACGCGCUUCGGCUCGGACGCUGGCGUAAUGGUCGUAAAUGACCCGUCUUGAAACACGGACCAAGGAGUCUAACAUCUACGCGAGUGUUCGGGUGUCAAACCCGUACGCGCAGUGAAAGCGAACGGAGGUGGGAGCCCCCUCGCGGGGCGCACCAUCGACCGAUCCUGAUGUCUUCGGAUGGAUUUGAGUACGAGCGUAGCUGUGGGGACCCGAAAGAUGGUGAAACUAUGCCUGAAUAGGGCGAAGGCCAGAGGAAACUCUGGGUGGGAGGCUCGCAGCGGUUCUGACGUGCAAAUCGAUCGUCAAAUUUGGGGUAUAGGGGGCGAAAGACUAAUCGAACCAUCUAGUAGCUGGUUCCUGCCGAUCU